Molecule: transfer RNA, 75 nt
Filed under: Clostridia bacterium
Lineage: Bacteria; Bacillati; Bacillota; Clostridia
Description: tRNA-Gln
Rfam family: tRNA
About the family: Transfer RNA (tRNA) molecules are approximately 80 nucleotides in length.
Source: RNAcentral
UGGGCUGUCGCCAAAUGGCAAGGCACUGGACUCUGACUCCAGCAUUUGAAGGUUCGAAUCCUUCCAGCCCAGCUA